UAGGGAAUCUUCCGCAAUGGACGAAAGUCUGACGGAGCAACGCCGCGUGAGUGAAGAAGGAUUUCGGUUCGUAAAACUCUGUUGUUAGGGAAGAAAAAAUGUAUAGUAACUAUAUACAAAAGAGACGGUACCUAACCAGAAAGCCACGGCUAACUACGUGCCAGCAGCCGCGGUAAUACGUAGGUGGCAAGCGUUGUCCGGAAUUAUUGGGCGUAAAGCGCGCGCAGGUGGUUUAGAAAGUCUGAUGUGAAAGCCCACGGCUCAACCGUGGAGGGUCAUUGGAAACUAAUAAACUUGAGUGCAGGAGAGAAAAGUGGAAUUCCUAGUGUAGCGGUGAAACGCGUAGAGAUUAGGAGGAACACCGGUGGCGAAAGCGGCUUUUUGGCCUGCAACUGACACUGAGGCGCGAAAGCGUGGGGAGCAAACAGG
This 429-nucleotide ribosomal RNA is filed under the name Verrucomicrobiota bacterium. RNAcentral's name for it is "Verrucomicrobia bacterium partial 16S ribosomal RNA". It matches the Rfam family "Bacterial small subunit ribosomal RNA", at positions 355 to 776 of the family's 1533-position model. Lineage: Bacteria; Pseudomonadati; Verrucomicrobiota. The record is from RNAcentral.